GCCGCCGCGGGAACACCGGCGGCCCGAGUGGUGAUCGUGAUUAUUGGGUCUAAAGGGUCCGUAGCCGGUUUGGUCAGUCCUCCGGGAAAUCUGAUAGCUCAACUAUUAGGCUUUCGGGGGAUACUGCCAGACUUGGAACCGGGAGAGGUAAGAGGUACUACAGGGGUAGGAGUGAAAUCUUGUAAUCCCUGUGGGACCACCUGUGGCGAAGGCGUCUUACCAGAACGGGUUCGACGGUGAGGGACGAAAGCUGGGGGCACGAACCGGAUUAGAUACCCGGGUAGUCCCAGCCGUAAACGAUGCUCGCUAGGUGUCAGGCAUGGCGCGACCGUGUCUGGUGCCGCAGGGAAGCCGUGAAGCGAGCCACCUGGGAAGUACGGCCGCAAGGCUGAAACUUAAAGGAAUUGGCGGGGGAGCACAACAACGGGUGGAAGCCUGCGGUUUAAUUGGACUCAACGCCGGACAACUUACCGGGGGCGACAGCAAUAUGUAGGCCAAGCUGAAGACCUUUGCCUGAAUCGCUGAGAAGUGGUGCAUGG
RNAcentral lists this ribosomal RNA (539 nucleotides) under uncultured archaeon. Its description in RNAcentral is "bacterial SSU rRNA". It matches the Rfam family "Archaeal small subunit ribosomal RNA", at positions 461 to 997 of the family's 1478-position model. The record is from RNAcentral.